Molecule: ribosomal RNA, 394 nt
Filed under: Candidatus Zymogenaceae bacterium
Lineage: Bacteria; Deltaproteobacteria; Candidatus Zymogeniales; Candidatus Zymogenaceae
Description: bacterial SSU rRNA
Rfam family: Bacterial small subunit ribosomal RNA
Source: RNAcentral
UAACUGGAGAGUUUGAUCCUGGCUCAGGACGAACGCUGGCGGCGUGCUUAACACAUGCAAGUCGAACGAGAAAGCCCGCUUCGGUGGGUGAGUACAGUGGCGCACGGGUGAGUAACACGUGGGUAACCUACCCCUCGGUGGGGGAUAACAUACCGAAAGGUGUGCUAAUACCGCAUAACACGUUACUUUUGCUAUUGUAAAGUCAAAGGUGGCUUCGCUGUCGCCGAGGGAUGGGCCCGCGGACCAUUAGCUUGUUGGUGGGGUAAUGGCCUACCAAGGCCGCGAUGGUUAGCUGGUCUGAGAGGACGAUCAGCCACACUGGAACUGGAACACGGUCCAGACUCCUACGGGAGGCAGCAGUGAGGAAUUUUGCGCAAUGGGGGAAACCCUGACG